Camellia sinensis is the source of this 395-nucleotide non-coding RNA. Lineage: Eukaryota; Viridiplantae; Streptophyta; Magnoliopsida; Ericales; Theaceae. The record is from RefSeq and is a predicted model, not a curated record.
CCAUCGCCAUCGCCAUCGUCAUCGUGAAUACCACCGAUCUUUUCACGCCGCCGCCGUCUCCUCCUCUACCGAUCUUCACAGAUCCACCGCCGCGAGAUCCAGAGGCUUCAUCGCUAAGAUGAACUCUGCUCCAUUGAUGCUCCGUCUCGCAUUGGCUUCAGAUGAGUGAAGUUGUCUCCACAAUUCCAAGCAUGGCUCCUUGCUCUAGUUAUUUUACCAACAAGGUCAAAUAUGAUGAUACGUGUUGGAUUAAUCACCUACUUGGCUCUACUAUCUGUCUUAAUCACCUAAAUUAAAUAUACAUAUGGCUUUCAGCUUUGCUUCAGUAAUUGCUUUGAGGGUUGGACAGCAGCUGGCUUCAUCACUAGUUUUUUAUUUUAUUUUAUUUUACUUUU